UUUGAAUCUGGCAGUCGGUUCGGCUGUCCGAGUUGUAAUCUAGAGAAGCGUCUUCCGCGUUGGACCGUGUACAAGUCUCCUGGAAGGGAGCGUCAUAGAGGGUGAGAAUCCCGUCUUUGACACGGAGCCCAGGGCUUAUGUGAGGCGCUCUCGACGAGUCGAGUUGUUUGGGAAUGCAGCUCAAAUAGGGUGGUAAAUUCCAUCUAAAGCUAAAUACAGGCGAGAGACCGAUAGCGAACAAGUACCGUGAGGGAAAGAUGAAAAGAACUUUGGAAAGAGAGUGAAACAGUACGUGAAAUUGCUGAAAGGGAAACGCUUGAUGUCAGUCGCGUCGGCCGGGGGUCAACCUCGCUUCAUCGCUUGGUGUAUUUCCUGGUCGACGGGUCAGCGUCAGUUUUGGUCGCCCGUACAAGGGCGGAGGGGACGUGGCACUCUUCGCGGAGUGUGUUAUAACCUUUCGUCGUAUGCGGUGGUCGGGACUGAGGAACUCAGCACGACGGUCUUCGUCUUGUGCUUAGGAUGCUGGCAUAAUGGCCUUAAGCGACCCGUCUUGAAACACGGACCAAGGAGUCUAACAUGCCUGCGAGUGUUUGGGUGUGCAAACCCGAGUGCGCAAUGAAAGUGAAAGUCGAGACCUCCGUCGUGGAGGGCACCGACGCCCGGACCUGCGUCUUU
RNAcentral lists this ribosomal RNA (675 nucleotides) under Tylopilus aff. virens. RNAcentral's name for it is "eukaryotic LSU rRNA". It matches the Rfam family "Eukaryotic large subunit ribosomal RNA", at positions 115 to 780 of the family's 3401-position model. Lineage: Eukaryota; Fungi; Basidiomycota; Agaricomycetes; Boletales; Boletaceae. The record is from RNAcentral.